UUCCCCUUCGGGGGACAAAGUGACAGGUGGUGCAUGGUUGUCGUCAGCUCGUGUCGUGAGAUGUUGGGUUAAGUCCCGCAACGAGCGCAACCCUUAAGCUUAGUUGCCAUCAUUAAGUUGGGCACUCUAAGUUGACUGCCGGUGACAAACCGGAGGAAGGUAGGGAUGACGUCAAAUCAUCAUGCCCCUUAUGAUUUGGGCUACACACGUGCUACAAUGGACAAUACAAAGGGCAGCGAAACCGUGAGGUCAAGCAAAUCCCAUAAAGUUGUUCUCAGUUCGGAUUGUAGUCUGCAACUCGACUACAUGAAGCUGGAAUCGCUAGUAAUCGUAGAUCAGCAUGCUACGGUGAAUACGUUCCCGGGUCUUGUACACACCGCCCGUCACACCACGAGAGUUUGUAACACCCGAAGCCGGUGGAGUAACCUUUUAGGAGCUAGCCGUCGAAGGUGGGACAAAUGAUUGGGGUGAAGUCGUAACAAGGUAGCCGUAUCGGAAGGUGCGGCUGGAUCACCUCCUUU
RNAcentral lists this ribosomal RNA (521 nucleotides) under Staphylococcus aureus. Its description in RNAcentral is "bacterial SSU rRNA". It matches the Rfam family "Bacterial small subunit ribosomal RNA", at positions 1013 to 1533 of the family's 1533-position model. Lineage: Bacteria; Bacillati; Bacillota; Bacilli; Caryophanales; Staphylococcaceae. The record is from RNAcentral.